CCUACGGGGGGCAGCAGUGGGGAAUAUUGCACAAUGGGGGAAACCCUGAUGCAGCAACGCCGCGUGAGUGAUGAAGGCCUUCGGGUCGUAAAGCUCUGUCCUAAGGGAAGAAUACUGACGGUACCUUAGGAGGAAGCCCCGGCUAACUACGUGCCAGCAGCCGCGGUAAUACGUAGGGGGCUAGCGCUAUCCGGAAUUACUGGGCGUAAAGGGUGCGUAGGCGGCCCUUCAAGUCAGGGGUGAAAGGCUACGGCUCAACCGGAUGAAGCCUUUGAAACUGUAGGGAUUGAGUGCAGGCGAGGAAAGUGUAAUUCCCCGGGUAGCGGUGAAAUGCGUAGAUAUUGGGAGGAACACCAGUUGAGAAGGCUGCUCUCUGGACUGUAACUGACGCUGAGGCACGAAAGCAUGGGGAGCGAACAGGAUUAGAUACCCGUGUAGUC
Molecule: ribosomal RNA, 440 nt
Filed under: uncultured bacterium
Lineage: Bacteria
Description: bacterial SSU rRNA
Rfam family: Bacterial small subunit ribosomal RNA
Source: RNAcentral